AAGUACAACUCGUACACUCCGGUUUCUUCGCUGCCCUCCACACCCACCUGACCUCGCUCGCUACGUUUGUUGGUG
Molecule: small RNA, 75 nt
Filed under: Xanthomonas nasturtii
Lineage: Bacteria; Pseudomonadati; Pseudomonadota; Gammaproteobacteria; Lysobacterales; Lysobacteraceae
Description: sX9 sRNA
Rfam family: Xanthomonas sRNA sX9
Source: RNAcentral